UACCGGAGACGCCGAGCAGCCAGAGGGAGGAAGCUAAAGGGUCAAACCGUGCAUCAAAAAGGGUUUUGAGCCCUACUGGAUUGUGGUUUGAUGAUAACAAAGUUAGCGGGUCCAUCACUGACAUUUUCCAGGGUCAUUUUCGAGAACCUUGGUUAAACUACGGUGAGGUGGACGAUGCAACAAAGACGCAUUGGUGGAACUCAUUCACGGGUCUUUACGAAUGGGCUCCUGAGUUAGAUGACCAAGUGAGAAAAGCAUAC
Beta vulgaris subsp. vulgaris (sugar beet) is the source of this 260-nucleotide long non-coding RNA. RefSeq lists it as uncharacterized. Lineage: Eukaryota; Viridiplantae; Streptophyta; Magnoliopsida; Caryophyllales; Amaranthaceae. The record is from RefSeq and is a predicted model, not a curated record. The transcript has 3 exons.